GGACUUGUAGCUUAAGAGGUUGAAGCAGCAGUCUCAUAAACUGAAGAUUGUGGGUUCGAAUCCCACCUAGUCCA
This 74-nucleotide transfer RNA is filed under the name Bacteriophage sp. Its description in RNAcentral is "tRNA-Met". It matches the Rfam family "tRNA". Rfam says of the family: Transfer RNA (tRNA) molecules are approximately 80 nucleotides in length. Their secondary structure includes four short double-helical elements and three loops (D, anti-codon, and T loops). The record is from RNAcentral.